UACGGAAGGCAGCAGUGGGGAAUAUUGCACAAUGGGCGCAAGCCUGAUGCAGCCAUGCCGCGUGUAUGAAGAAGGCCUUCGGGUUGUAAAGUACUUUUCAGUCGUGAGGAAGGUGUUAAGGUUAAUAACCUUAGCAAUUGACGUUAGCGACAGAAGAAGCACCGGCUAACUCCGUGCCAGCAGCCGCGGUAAUCGGAGGGUGCGAGCGUUAAUCGGAAUUACUGGGCGUAAAGGGCACGCAGGCGGUUAAUAGUUGGAUGUGAAAUCCCCGGGCUUAACCUGGGAAUGGCAUUCAAGACUGGUUAGCUAGAGUCUUGUAGAGGGGGUAGAAUUCCAUGUGUAGCGGUGAAAUGCGUAGAGAUGUGGAGGAAUACCGGUGGCGAAGGCGGCCCCUGGGACAAAGGGACCUGACGCGUCAUGUGC
This 423-nucleotide ribosomal RNA is filed under the name uncultured bacterium. Its description in RNAcentral is "bacterial SSU rRNA". It matches the Rfam family "Bacterial small subunit ribosomal RNA", at positions 340 to 754 of the family's 1533-position model. The record is from RNAcentral.